UCGAGAAUCUUCCGCAAUGGGCGAAAGCCUGACGGAGCGACGUCGCGUGAUGGAUGAAGUGCUUAGGUACGUAAACAUCUUUUAUAGGGGAAGAAGUAAUUGACAUUACCCUAUGAAUAAGGGGCUCCUAACUCUGUGCCAGCAGGAGCGGUAAUACAGAGGCCCCAAGCGUUACCCGGAUUUAUUGGGCGUAAAGGGUGUGUAGGUGGUUGUAUUAGUCGUUUGUGAAAUCCCAGGGCUUAACUCUGGA
Molecule: ribosomal RNA, 250 nt
Filed under: uncultured bacterium
Lineage: Bacteria
Description: partial 16S ribosomal RNA
Rfam family: Bacterial small subunit ribosomal RNA
Source: RNAcentral